ACGGCCAUACCACGCUGAAAACACCAGUUCUCGUUUGAUCACCGAAGUUAAGCAAUGUCUGGCCUGGUCAGUAGUUGGGGGGGGUGACCAUCUAGAAACACCGAAUGCAGCUAUAGGCU
Non-coding RNA from Cordylochernes scorpioides, 119 nucleotides. The record is from the annotation of a GenBank genome assembly. NCBI's taxonomy places the organism in Eukaryota, Metazoa, Arthropoda, Arachnida, Pseudoscorpiones, Chernetidae.